AUAGGUCUAUUUGCUUUCUCAUGUUGAUUAUAAUUUCAUGAGAUCAAAUUAGACUUAUCG
This 60-nucleotide microRNA precursor is filed under the name Strongyloides ratti. RNAcentral's name for it is "microRNA str-mir-81c precursor". Its record names the gene str-mir-81c. Lineage: Eukaryota; Metazoa; Nematoda; Chromadorea; Rhabditida; Strongyloididae. The record is from miRBase by way of RNAcentral.